CCAGAGAAAUCGAUGCCGACCAAGAGCUUCGCCAACCCUAUCUCUGCCGACCACCUACCUAUUGGCGACGAACUACUUCCAUGCAUGUCUCGAUGGAAACGACAAAUCAACUGUGAUGAACCUUGGAGGUUUUAUGCUAUUCAAGCGAUCUCCGGCGAAGACACAUCGACUCUGAUUGGUCUGCAACGCCGACGACUUAAUCCGGUGCUCUUGGCUCGCUUGGUGCUGGAACAUUGAUCAAGACUUCAAAUCCUACAAGCUUAGAAUUUGGUGAAGUGGUGGUGCAAUGGAGGAACCGUCCUAUCAUCUUUUUGGAUUGAGAUAGCAGCUGAUCUUGAACCAAUACAUUUCAAUAAGAAAACUUGAAGUUGAACAAGUGAGGGGUUGGAAAGAGAAGGGCCAAAUAAAGAAUCGAUUCAGUAGCUAUGCUGUUCGUUGUGAGAUAGCAGAUCAGCAACUGGGUCCUUAUUUCCGAUCAUAAGGGACUCCAGUUACCCGUGGAGCGAAAUGCUUGAGAUUCUCGGAGUUCGUGAGGAAAGCCUCGGAUUCCAGGUAGGGGACCCGGAACUCCCUUGAUUAGUGAUUUUAUUGUUUUAUAAAACGUUAAAUGCAUAUAUGAGAUUGCAUGAUUUGGUUAUCAUGAAUAUGGUAACCGUUUAUAUGAGUUAUUGAUGGCUUGAGAGUGAGAGGAGCAUAGCGACUUCCUUGGGUUCGAUCCCUUAAACCUCCGGAGGGGCCUCUAUGGACGGAAGAGUGUCUUACAUCCCUUGUGGAGUGGCACUGCUUCCGGGCGAUAGGGCAUUUGUGGACACUCUCGCUAUACUUACCUGUUGUGUACAUAUAUAGUGAGGUAAGUUGGAUAGUGGGUCUAAAUAUAUGACCGGCCAUCAGGUAUAGUUUAUGGCGCCACAUUUAUUUG
RNA transcript from Fragaria vesca subsp. vesca, 919 nucleotides. RefSeq lists it as uncharacterized. Lineage: Eukaryota; Viridiplantae; Streptophyta; Magnoliopsida; Rosales; Rosaceae. The record is from RefSeq and is a predicted model, not a curated record. The transcript has 4 exons.